RNAcentral lists this transfer RNA (73 nucleotides) under Cordylochernes scorpioides. RNAcentral describes it as "tRNA-Gly". The stretch from base 10 to 65 matches the Rfam family "tRNA", at positions 8 to 63 of the family's 71-position model. Rfam says of the family: Transfer RNA (tRNA) molecules are approximately 80 nucleotides in length. Their secondary structure includes four short double-helical elements and three loops (D, anti-codon, and T loops). Lineage: Eukaryota; Metazoa; Arthropoda; Arachnida; Pseudoscorpiones; Chernetidae. The record is from RNAcentral.
GUUUUCUUUUGGUUCAGUGGUAGAAUUCUCGCCUGCCACGCGGGCGCCCCGGGUUCGAUUCCCGGGCGAUGCA